UCCUGGCUCAGAGCGAACGCUGGCGGCGUGCUUAACACAUGCAAGUCGCACGAAGGUUUCGGCCUUAGUGGCGGACGGGUGAGUAACGCGUAGGAAUCUAUCCAUGGGUGGGGGAUAACUCUGGGAAACUGGAGCUAAUACCGCAUGACACCUUAGGGUCAAAGGCGUAAGUCGCCUGUGGAGGAGCCUGCGUUUGAUUAGCUUGUUGGUGGGGUAAUGGCCUACCAAGGCGAUGAUCAAUAGCUGGUCUGAGAGGAUGAUCAGCCACACUGGGACUGAGACACGGCCCAGACUCCUACGGGAGGCAGCAGUGGGGAAUAUUGGACAAUGGGGGCAACCCUGAUCCAGCAAUGCCGCGUGUGUGAAGAAGGUUUUCGGAUUGUAAAGCACUUUCGGCGGGGACGAUGAUGACGGUACCCGCAGAAGAAGCCCCGGCUAACUUCGUGCCAGCAGCCGCGGUAAUACGAAGGGGGCUAGCGUUGCUCGGAAUGACUGGGCGUAAAGGGCGUGUAGGCGGUUUGUACAGUCAGAUGUGAAAUCCCCGGGCUUAACCUGGGAGCUGCAUUUGAUACGUGCAGACUAGAGUGUGAGAGAGGGUUGUGGAAUUCCCAGUGUAGAGGUGAAAUUCGUAGAUAUUGGGAAGAACACCGGUGGCGAAGGCGGCAACCUGGCUCAUAACUGACGCUGAAGCGCGAAAGCGUGGGGAGCAAACAGGAUUAG
RNAcentral lists this ribosomal RNA (720 nucleotides) under uncultured bacterium. Its description in RNAcentral is "bacterial SSU rRNA". It matches the Rfam family "Bacterial small subunit ribosomal RNA", at positions 17 to 781 of the family's 1533-position model. The record is from RNAcentral.